CAUCAGCCCUGGAACUGAGGAUUCUCUUACCUGUAGCUGCUGCCACCAAGAGGAGGAGCCUCCAGGUCCAGUCCAUGCAGAAACCAGAAGUAGCUUCAGACAUCACCAGUGACCCGACAGAAGCAGCAGGAAUCUCAUCUCAUUAAGUAUGGAGAAGGAUCUGGCACCAGGACUCCAGGGCCAUGCUAGUGAUUUCCCCUCCUAUACCCUGAGGACACGGUGCUUCCAACUCUGAGGAUCAGGCUGCUGAAAUUGACAUGUGAGAAGAGAAAGUGGGAUUUUCUGUGGGAAAAGACUGGUGUGAACACAAUUUUCAAGUAAAUAAAUUCAUUAUACAAUGAGACACACUGCCAUCACGUUGACAGUGUGUGGAUUUUGACAUUAACAUUAUUAUUAUCAAUAUUGUUGGGAUGUUCCCUGGAAAAUGAUCAAUUGUUACA
Long non-coding RNA from Cercocebus atys (sooty mangabey), 440 nucleotides. RefSeq lists it as uncharacterized. Lineage: Eukaryota; Metazoa; Chordata; Mammalia; Primates; Cercopithecidae. The transcript has 3 exons. The record is from RefSeq and is a predicted model, not a curated record.